Molecule: transfer RNA, 87 nt
Filed under: Acidobacteria bacterium 13_1_40CM_2_68_10
Lineage: Bacteria; Pseudomonadati; Acidobacteriota
Description: tRNA-Leu
Rfam family: tRNA
About the family: Transfer RNA (tRNA) molecules are approximately 80 nucleotides in length.
Source: RNAcentral
GCCGGAGUGGCGAAACUGGUAGACGCACGGGACUCAAAAUCCCGCGGGCGCAAGCCCAUGUCGGUUCGAGUCCGACCUCCGGCACCC